This 253-nucleotide ribosomal RNA is filed under the name uncultured bacterium. RNAcentral describes it as "partial 16S ribosomal RNA". It matches the Rfam family "Bacterial small subunit ribosomal RNA", at positions 524 to 776 of the family's 1533-position model. The record is from RNAcentral.
UACGGAGGGUGCAAGCGUUAUCCGGAUUUACUGGGCUUAAAGCGUGUGUAGGCGGACUUCUAAGUACCUUGUGAAAUCCCACGGCUCACCCGUGGAACUGCUCGGUAUACUGGUCGUCUUGAGCCUUCUAGGGGCGAGUGGAACAAAUGGUGGAGCGGUGAAAUGCGUAGAUAUCAUUUGGAACGCCAAUGGUGAAAACAACUCGCUGGGGAAGUGCUGACGCUGAGACACGAAAGCCAGGGGAGCGAACGGG